CAGAAAUGAUAUAUAGAUAUUAAGAGCAUAAUAAGGGCUUAUUGUGGACAGAGACAUGCCAAUAAUUCUGUCAACUAAGACAAAGUGGACAAGGUCCUUGGAUGACAAACUACCGAAGCUCACUCAAGAAAAGAAGACAAACAGCCUUAUGUCUGUUAACAAAAUUGAAUUUGUAGUAAAAACCAAAGCACAGAUAAAAUUCCAGGCCCAGGGAGCUCAACUGGGGGAAUCCACCAAAUAUUUAAGAAAUAAAAUGGGGCACCUGGGUACCUCAGUCAGUCAUGCAACUACCUUCAGCUCAGGUCAUGAUCUCAGGGUCCUGGAUUUGAGCCCCACGUUGGGCUUCCUGCUCAGUGGGGAGUCCGCUUCUCCUUCUGCCUCUCCCUCUCCCCUUACUCACGCGUGCACUCGCUCUCUCUCACUCACUCAAAUAAGUAAAUAAAAUCAAGAAAAGAAAGAAAAAGAAAUCAAACCAAUUCUAGACAAACUGUGCAGAGAAGUGGAUGAGGGCCUGCCCACAAGUGGCCAGAAGUCUCUGCUACCAAAACCAGACAAAGACAUUCUCCCAAAAUAAAAUAUAAUAAUAUAUAAUAUCUUUCACAAGCAUGGGUGUAAACAUUCUUAACAUAAUGUUAAUAAAUUGAAGCUAACCAAUAUUUAAAACAAUAUUUAAAAAGAUAAAUCACAACCAACUGGGGUUCAAUGCAAGGUUGGUUUAAAAUUAAACUAUUGGGGAUGCCUGGGUGGCUCCAUGGUUGAGCAUCUGCUUUCAGCUCAGGUCAUGAUCCCAGGGUCCCAGGAUCGAGUCCUGCAUUGGGUUCCCUGCAGGAAGCCUGCUUCUCCCUCUGCCUAUGUCUCCUCCUCUCUCUCUGUGUGUGUCUUUCACGAAUAAAUGAAUAAAAUCUUUUUAAAAUAAUCAAAUUAAAUUAAAAUAUCAACUAGUAUAAUCCACCAUAUUAAUAGGCAGAAAGGAAAAUGCACAUGUCACCUCAAUGCAGAAAAAGCAGCAUCCAUUCCCAGCAAAUUAAAAACAGAAGGGAACUUUUUCUUUUUUUUUUUUUAAAUUUUUUUUUUAAUUUUUAUUUAUUUAUGAUAGUCACAGAGAGAGAGAGAGAGAGGCAGAGAUACAGGCAGAGGGAGAAGCAGGCUCCAUGCACCGGGAGCCUGACGUGGGAUUCGAUCCCGGGUCUCCAGGAUCACGCCCUGGGCCAAAGGCAGGCACCAAACCGCUGCGCCACCCAGGGAUCCCCUCCUUUGAUUUCUUUAUCAAUAAUAUCCACCCAUCCAUUCGACUUCAGCUGCUUGUGGCCUGCCUGGUCUUUUCCAGGACCCAAGAAUUACCCCACAUCUGAANAUUCACUGGGGCCUACAACCACUGACUCUUUCUUCUUAUUAAUUCUGAUUCCCGUUAUCUUGAUUUCUCUCCUCACCCACUUCAGAAUCUAUAAUUCAUAAUUUCAUUGAUAUUCUUACCGUAGUCUAUGCUCUCUUGACAGAUCUUUUUAUUCUGCUUUCCUGGGUGAAAAAUCCCCAGUAUGAGAGAUUCUAACAAUUUGACUUUCUGAUGUUGAUGAAUGCUGCUUAAAAAAAAAAAAAUUCAUACAACCAGGAAGAUACAAAUUAAUACCCAUAAUUCACAAUACCUGUAAGACUAUUCAUGGUGAUAUUUUUUAUUAGAGUUAGAGAAAUAUGCGAGACAACCUUAAUGCACGUAAAUAAGGAUUUAGGCAAAUUAUGGUGCAGCCAAUCCUAGAUAAUGAAAAGGAAAUAUCCAGAUGUAAAAAAUAAGGAGAGAUAAGCACUUGAGGUGAUGUUAAUGGCAGUCUAGGAUCGGUUGGGGUGCAGAUUGUUAAAUUUGUUAACUGCUUGGAGCUUAGGUUUUGUUGCUUUUCUAUAUGGAACUAAAACAACUGUUAUCACAAAGAAAUGGCAAGGCCUCCUACUGAGAUCUGAGUUUAAAAAAAAAAUUUCUCCUGAGAUAUUAAAAUCUUGUGCCUCGAAUGCCUGGGUGGCUCAUGAGCUGAGCAUCUGCCUUAGUCUCAGAGGGUGAUCCUGGCAUCCUGGGAUUGAGUCCUGCUUUGGGCUCCCUGCAGGGAACCUACUUCUCCCUUUGCUGCCUGCUUCACUACUGCCUCUCUCUCUCUCUCUCUCUCUUUCUCUCUCUCUCUCUUUCUUUCUCUCUGCAUGUGUGUGUGUCUCUCAUGGGUAAAUAAAUAAAAUAUUAAAAAAAUAAAAGAAUUCUGU
This is a long non-coding RNA of Vulpes vulpes (red fox), 2244 nucleotides long. NCBI's taxonomy places the organism in Eukaryota, Metazoa, Chordata, Mammalia, Carnivora, Canidae. The record is from Ensembl.